RNAcentral lists this ribosomal RNA (427 nucleotides) under uncultured bacterium. Its description in RNAcentral is "SSU rRNA". It matches the Rfam family "Bacterial small subunit ribosomal RNA", at positions 356 to 795 of the family's 1533-position model. The record is from RNAcentral.
GGGGAAUUUUCCGCAAUGGGGGAAGCCCUGACGCAGCGGACGCCGCGUGAGCGAUGAAGUCUCUAGGGAUGUAAAGCUCUGUCCUACGGGGAAGAAGAAUGUGACGGUACCCGUAGAGAAAGCCCCGGCUAACUACGUGCCAGCAGCCGCGGUGAUACGUAGGGGGCGAGCGUUGUCCGAAUUUACUGGGCGUAAAGCGCGUGUAGGCGGCCUUUUAAGUCAGAUGUGAAAUCCUGUGGCUCAACCACAGAACUGCAUUUGAAACUGGAAGGCUUGAGUUUGGGAGAGGAAAGUGGAAUUCCUGGUGUAGCGGUGAAAUGCGUAGAUAUCAGGAGGAACACCCGUGGCGAAGGCGGCUUUCUGGCCCAAUACUGNCGCUGAGACGCGAAAGCUAGGGGAGCGAAAGGGAUUAGAUACCCCAGUAGUC